AAUCAACGCUGGCGGCGUGCCUCAGACAUGCAAGUCGAACGAUUAAACUUCCCUUCGGGGAAGAUAUAAAGUGGCGCACGGGUGAGUAACACGUAAGUAAUCUACCUUCGAGUGGGGAAUAACAUCGGGAAACCGAUGCUAAUACCGCAUAACGCAGCGGCACCUUAUGGUGACAGUUGUUAAAGGAGCAAUUCGCUUGAAGAGGAGCUUGCGGCAGAUUAGCUAGUUGGUAAGGUAAUGGCUUACCAAGGCUUCGAUCUGUAUCCGGUCUAAGAGGACGGUCGGACACACUGACACUGAAUAACGGGUCAGACUCCUACGGGAGGCAGCAGUCGGGAAUUUUGGGCAAUGGGCGAAAGCCUGACCCAGCAACGCCGCGUGAAGGAUGAAGUAUUUCGGUAUGUAAACUUCGAAAGAAUGGGAAGAACUCAAUGACGGUACCAUUUAUAAGCUCCGGCUAACUACGUGCCAGCAGCCGCGGUAAUACGUAGGGAGCAAGCGUUGUUCGGAUUUACG
This 516-nucleotide ribosomal RNA is filed under the name uncultured bacterium. RNAcentral's name for it is "bacterial SSU rRNA". It matches the Rfam family "Bacterial small subunit ribosomal RNA", at positions 28 to 555 of the family's 1533-position model. The record is from RNAcentral.